UCGGCCGGGUUUAAGUUUGAUUCUGGCUUGAUUACUUAUUAAUAACUAAAUAGAACACAUGUAAAUUUUUUUGUUCCUGUAAAUAAUAGGUGUUAAUAUUUUAUUGUCUUAAUGAUGCUAAUAGUUAACUUUCUUACUCAUAUUAGGUGAUUUUAGAUGUGGUUUUAUUUACGUCUACAGUGGCUAAUGCUGUAAAAUUAAGGACACUUAGAUUCGGUUUGGUUAUAUUGGACCGGUAAAAAUGGUGCCAGCGACCGCGGUUAGACAUGGGGUUCUUGUGAGUUAUAUUGAUUUUAUGGUAAGUGGAUGUUAGUUGUGGUUUUAUAGAAUAUUUAUAAAGGUAUAAUUUACUCAAUAAUAAUUUUUCCUCUUAAACCUUUUUAUUUUUCCAUGAAGGCUUAGAUUAAAACUAGGAUUUGAUACCCACUUAUUCUAGGCAGUAAAUUAUUAAAAUUAGGGUAGUAUGGGCACAUGCUUUAAACCCAAAGAAAUUGGCGGUGUUCUAACGUCUCAGAGGAACCUGUUCUUUAAUUCGAUGGUCCACGUUACUUUUACUUUUCUUUGAAAUUUCAGCCUGUGUAUUGCCGUUUAGUUUACUUUUCAAGAAGUGUGGAGUUUGGCUUAAAAUUUAUUUAACAUUUUUAUACCAGGUCUAAAUACAGCUUAUAGAAAAGGAGAAAUGGGUUACUAUUAAUUGUCGGAUUUAAAAUUCUUAAGAUUUUAUUGAAGUCGGAUUUGAAAGUAAGUUUGAAAAUUAAAAUUCUUACUGAAUUUAGUUAUCUAGAAUGAGUACAAAUCGCCCGUCGUCCCCGUUGAAAGAUGGGGUAAGUCGUAACAUAGUGGGUGUAACGGAAGUUGUACCUAAUAAAAAAGAAAAAAGUACC
This 884-nucleotide non-coding RNA is filed under the name Amphisamytha bioculata. The record is from RNAcentral. Lineage: Eukaryota; Metazoa; Annelida; Polychaeta; Terebellida; Ampharetidae.